AGUGAACGCUGGCGGUAGGCCUAACACAUGCAAGUCGAACGGCAGCACAGUAAGAGCUUGCUCUUACGGGUGGCGAGUGGCGGACGGGUGAGGAAUACAUCGGAAUCUACUUUUUCGUGGGGGAUAACGUAGGGAAACUUACGCUAAUACCGCAUACGACCUACGGGUGAAAGCAGGGGAUCUUCGGACCUUGCGCGAUUGAAUGAGCCGAUGUCGGAUUAGCUAGUUGGCGGGGUAAAGGCCCACCAAGGCGACGAUCCGUAGCUGGUCUGAGAGGAUGAUCAGCCACACUGGAACUGAGACACGGUCCAGACUCCUACGGGAGGCAGCAGUGGGGAAUAUUGGACAAUGGGCGCAAGCCUGAUCCAGCCAUACCGCGUGGGUGAAGAAGGCCUUCGGGUUGUAAAGCCCUUUUGUUGGGAAAGAAAAGCAGCAGGUUAAUACCCCGCUGUUCUGACGGUACCCAAAGAAUAAGCACCGGCUAACUUCAU
RNAcentral lists this ribosomal RNA (491 nucleotides) under uncultured bacterium. RNAcentral's name for it is "partial 16S ribosomal RNA". It matches the Rfam family "Bacterial small subunit ribosomal RNA", at positions 29 to 506 of the family's 1533-position model. The record is from RNAcentral.